Long non-coding RNA from Aquila chrysaetos chrysaetos, 122 nucleotides. RefSeq lists it as uncharacterized. The transcript has 3 exons. NCBI's taxonomy places the organism in Eukaryota, Metazoa, Chordata, Aves, Accipitriformes, Accipitridae. The record is from RefSeq and is a predicted model, not a curated record.
AAUAUAUCAUUUUUUCUCUACUUUUGCCUUGUCUGGGCGGCCAGUCAUCCCAAUGGGCAAUCAUUAAUCCUAGAGGGCUGUCUGGCGCUAUCAUAGGGAGACUCCAGGAUCUCCAGCUAUGG